Molecule: non-coding RNA, 39 nt
Filed under: unclassified sequences
Description: L31-Actinobacteria ribosomal protein leader
Rfam family: L31-Actinobacteria ribosomal protein leader
Source: RNAcentral
CGAGCACCGGUUCACGUCAUGUCCGACGACCCGGCGGCU